This 492-nucleotide ribosomal RNA is filed under the name uncultured bacterium. RNAcentral's name for it is "partial 16S ribosomal RNA". It matches the Rfam family "Bacterial small subunit ribosomal RNA", at positions 28 to 507 of the family's 1533-position model. The record is from RNAcentral.
GAUGAACGCUAGCUACAGGCUUAACACAUGCAAGUCGAGGGGAAACGGCAUUGAGUGCUUGCACUCUUUGGACGUCGACCGGCGCACGGGUGAGUAACGCGUAUCCAACCUUCCCAUUACUGUGGGAUAACCUGCCGAAAGGCAGACUAAUACCGCAUAGUCUUCGCUGACGGCAUCAGAUUUGAAGUAAAGAUUUAUCGGUGAUGGAUGGGGAUGCGUCUGAUUAGCUUGUUGGCGGGGUAACGGCCCACCAAGGCGACGAUCAGUAGGGGUUCUGAGAGGAAGGUCCCCCACAUGGGAACUGAGACACGGUCCAAACUCCUACGGGAGGCAGCAGUGAGGAAUAUUGGUCAAUGGACGGAAGUCUGAACCAGCCAAGUAGCGUGCAGGAUGACGGCCCUAUGGGUUGUAAACUGCUUUUGUAUGGGGAUAAAGUUAGGGACGUGUCCCUAUUUGCAGGUACCAUACGAAUAAGGACCGGCUAAUUCCGUG